This 309-nucleotide ribosomal RNA is filed under the name uncultured eukaryote. RNAcentral's name for it is "partial 18S ribosomal RNA". It matches the Rfam family "Eukaryotic small subunit ribosomal RNA", at positions 1470 to 1796 of the family's 1831-position model. The record is from RNAcentral.
CCCUUAGAUGUUCUGGGCCGCACGCGUGCUACACUGAGUGGAUCAGCGGGUCAGGUUGCGCGAAAGUGUUUCCUAAUCUUGAAAUCCGCUCGUGAUGGGGAUUGACGGUUGCAAUUUUCCGUCAUGAACGAGGAAUACCUUGUAAGCGCGGGUCAUCAUCCCGCGCUGAAUACGUCCCUGCCCUUUGUACACACCGCCCGUCGCUCCUACCGAUUGAGUGGUCCGGUGAGGCUCAUGGAGGGGCGGUUGUCUCAGCUGCCGUCGAAGUGAAAUGGACCUCACGAUCUAGAGGAAGGAGAAGUCGUAACA